UACGGAGGAUCCGAGCGUUAUCCGGAUUUAUUGGGUUUAAAGGGUGCGUAGGCGGCUUCGCAAGUUGGGUGUGAAAUCCCUCGGCUCAACCGAGGAAUGGCGCCCAAAACUGCGGAGCUCGAGGGAGACAGAGGUGAGUGGAACUUGUGGUGGAGCGGUGAAAUGCGUUGAUAUCACAAGGAACACCGGUGGCGAAAGCGGCUCACUGGGUCUUUCUGACGCUGAGGCACGAAAGCUGGGGGAGCGAACGGGAUUAGAUACCCGCGUAGUCCCUGAG
Molecule: ribosomal RNA, 277 nt
Filed under: uncultured prokaryote
Description: partial 16S ribosomal RNA
Rfam family: Bacterial small subunit ribosomal RNA
Source: RNAcentral